CGCGUAGGUGGUUUGAUAAGGGUGUGGUGAAAGCCCGGGGCUCAACCCCGGGUCUGCCGUGCCGACUGUUAAACUCGAGGACUGUAGAGGCAGACGGAAUUCCGGGUGUAGCGGUGGAAUGCGUAGAGAUCCGGAGGAAGACCGGUGGCGAAGGCGGUCUGCUGGGCAGUUUCUUGACACUGAGGCGCGACAGCGUGGGGAGGCAAAACA
Molecule: ribosomal RNA, 210 nt
Filed under: uncultured bacterium
Lineage: Bacteria
Description: partial 16S ribosomal RNA
Rfam family: Bacterial small subunit ribosomal RNA
Source: RNAcentral